Molecule: non-coding RNA, 2315 nt
Organism: Lolium perenne
Lineage: Eukaryota; Viridiplantae; Streptophyta; Magnoliopsida; Poales; Poaceae
Source: RefSeq, a predicted model, not a curated record
CAACAACAACUCCGGGCAGCAACGCUUCACAAGCUGUAGAGAACUCAGCUGCCGAUGCUCCUCUUGCAAAUCCACAGUCGUCACAAGGUAUUGUUGAUGUUGAGGCGACAGUAGACCAAGCUGUUGUUAGUAGGGGGUCUAAUAAGAGAAAGCUUACAUCUGAUGUGUGGGAAGAUUUCACAAAAGAAUUAAUUAAUGGGAAGAACAUAGCUAUAUGUAAUUGGUGUCAUCAUGAUUUUGCUGGAGAAUCAAACUCCGGUACAACGCACUUACGAAACCACCGCAGCACAUGUCCUGCUAGGCAUGCACCAAUGGGCCCUAAACAACAGAAAUUGAAGUUUUCGAAAGAUAUUGAUGGAAGUGUAAGUUUAGAGAAUACUAAUUUCAAUCAAGAAGUGGCUAGAAAAGAGCUUGCAUUGAUGAUAUGUGUGCAUGAGUACCCUUUGUCAAUUGUUGAUCACUCCCGCUUCCGUAAGUUCUGCAAUUGUUUGCAACCAUUGUUCAAGGUGGUGUCGAGAAAUACUAUUAGGCAGGAUAUUAUUAAUAUGCAUCAAGUUGAAAGAGAUAGCAUGGUGAAGUUCUUUGCAAAUUUUCAAAACCGUGUUGCCAUAACGACGGACUUGUGGACAGCUAACCAUCAAAAGAAAGGGUAUAUGGCUGUUACUGCGCAUUACAUUGAUGGUUCAUGGAAUCUAAAGAGCUUUCUUUUGAGGUUCAUGUAUGUCUCAUGUCCACAUAACGCUGAAGUGAUAUGCGAAGCUCUACAUGCAUGUCUUGUUGAAUGGCACCUUGAGAAGAAGAUAUCCACAGUAACGUUGGAUAAUUGCACAUCAAAUAAUAAAGCCAUGCAAAUUCUGCCAGAUAAGUUGGAUACUAAAUCUCUUAUGUUGGAGGGUAAAUAUUUGCAUAUGCGUUGUGCCGCACAUAUAUUAAAUCUGAUUGUAAAAGAUGGUUUGGAUGUCAUGGAGUUUGGGAUUGAGAGGGUAUGUGAUAGUGUUGCAUUUUGGUCGGCUACACCUAAAAGGCAUGAGAAAUUUGAAAAAAUGACAUGUCUCUGAUGAACACGGAAUAACAUCUAGGCUAUCUCUUGAUUGCAAAACUAGAUGGAAUUCAACCUACCUUAUGCUAACUUGUGCAUUGCAAUACAGAGAUGUUUUUGCAAGACUUAGUAUACGUGAAAAAAAGUUUAAUUGUCCAACUAAUGAAAAUUGGGAGUUUGCAACAGAGGUUUGUGAGAGGCUGAAAGUAUUCUUUGAUGUAACAGAGAUGUUGUCAGGCCAGAAAUAUGUUACAGCAAACAUCUUUUCCCUAAAAUCUGUGGUAUUCGUUUGGCAAUACGUAAAUGGCAUUCUAGUGACAAUCAACUUAUAAGAGCUAUGUCUGAUGAAAUGAAGGAUAAAUUUGAGAAGUAUUGGACAGAUGUUCAUGGUCUCAUGGCUGUUGCAACCGUCCUUGAUCCACGGUUUAAGCUUCACAUACUGCAGGCUUUAUUUCAGAACUUAUAUGGAUAUGAGCAUGCGGUCAAAGAAGUUGCAAAUAUAAAAGGCAACUAAUGUUAUCUUUAUUGGAUGAAUACCAACAACCCUCCGAUGUUGCGAUGCCAAAUAUUGAAAGUACUUCUACUGGUGGUGGUGGUGUGGAUGAAGUUUAUGAGAUAUUUGAUGAAUAUAUGAAUUCAAAGCCUGCUGCCUCCGCUUCCCAAGUGCGCACAGAGUUGGACUUGUACUUGGAAGAGGACCCUCUCCCUCGAACACAAGAGCUAGACAUCAUUGGUUGGUGGAAGUUUGGAGGUAUUAAGUACCCUACUUUGCAAAUGAUUGCUCAUGAUAUAUUACGUAUUCCUGUCACUUCAGUAGCAUCGGAGUGUGUCUUUAGUGCUAGCGGGAGAUCAAUUAGUGCACAUCGUAGUCGACUUGCACCAAAAAUAGCAGAAGCUCUUAUGUGUAUGCAAUCAUGGUCGAACAUGUUAGGUAAUUCAUUUCUACAUUCCCACUAUGUUCUGUGACUACAGUAAGAUAUGAAAUCUAAGUUCUUUAUAAUUUUUAAAUUGUAUUAGGUGAGAUUCAUGGUGAUCUCCUUGCUGUCCAGAAUGUUCUUGAAGAUGAACAAGAAGAAAUGGAUUCCAAUGAAUCCAUUGUCACUGAAGAAUGAUUGAAUGAGGCUACAAUAAUCCAAGAUUCAACUCAACCUUUCUACUAUCUUUUGCUAUAUAGCUUUAACGCUUUAGAUGUUGUGUUGGGAUCUUGUAAUAAAAAGCACUGUCUAUAUAUGUUCCGUGAGAUUGAAAUGAGACACCUAUUGUAUGGUGUGAUUGU